UGAGUGCGAGCUGCUACGGCAGCGAAGUUGGUGAUGUCAUGCUUCCAAGAAAAGCCCUAUACCCGUUAAGGCAUCAUGGCCUGUACCCGAAACCGACACAGGUGGGGUGGUAGAGAAUACCGAGGGGCGCGAGGUAACUCUCUCUAAGGAACUCGGCAAAAUGGCCCCGUAACUUCGGGAGAAGGGGUGCCACCGCAAGGUGGUCGCAGUGAAGAGGCCCAGGCGACUGUUUACCAAAAACACAGGUCUCCGCUAAGUCGCAAGACGAUGUAUGGGGGCUGACGCCUGCCCAGUGCCGGAAGGUUAAGGAAGCUGGUCAGCGCAAGCGAAGCUAGCGACUGAAGCCCCGGUGAACGGCGGCCGUAACGAUAACGGUCCUAAGGUAGCGAAAUUCCUUGUCGGGUAAGUUCCGACCCGCACGAAAGGCGUAACGAUCUGGGCGCUGUCUCGGAGAGAGGCUCGGCGAAAUAGAAUUGUCUGUGAAGAUGCGGACUACGUGCACCCGGACAGAAAGACCCUAUGAAGCUUUACUGUAGCUUGGUAUUGUGCCCGGGCUCGCAAUGCGCAGGAUAGGUGGGAGGCUUUGAUCAUCGGCUUGCGGGUCGAUGUGAGCCAACGGUGAGAUACCACUCUUUGCGAGCUAGGGUUCUAACGGCCACCCGUCAUCCGGGGGCCGGACAGUACCUGGUGGGCAGUUUGACUGGGGCGGUCGCCUCCUAAAAGGUAACGGAGGCGCGCAAAGGUUUGCUCAGGCUGGUUGGAAAUCAGCCGACGAGUGUAAAAGCAGAAGCAAGCUUGACUGUGAGACCAACAAGUCGAACAGGGAGGAAACUCGGCUUUAGUGAUCCGACGGUUCUGAGUGGAAGGGCCGUCGCUCAACGGAUAAAAGUUACUCUAGGAUAACAGGCUGAUCUCCCCCAAGAGUUCACAUCGACGGGGAGGUUUGGCACCUCGAUGUCGGCUCAUCGCAACCUGGGGCUGAAGUCGGUCCCAAGGGUUGGGCUGUUCGCCCAUUAAAGCGGUACGCGAGCUGGGUUCAGAACGUCGUGAGACUGUUCGGUCCAUAUCCGGUGCACGCGCAGGAAUAUUGAGAGGAUUUCUCCCUAGUACGAGAGGACCGGGAGGAACGCACCUCUGGUGUACCAGUUAUCGUGCCAACGGUAAACGCUGGGUAGCCAUGUGCGGAGUGGAUAACCGCUGAAAGCAUCUAAGUGGGAAGCCCACCUCAAGAUGAGUAUUCCCAUGGCGUAAGCCAGUAAGGUCACGGGAAGAACACCCGUUGAUAGGCUCUAUGUGGAAGCGCAGUAAUGCGUGAAGCAGAGGAGUACUAAUAGACCGAGGGCUUGACC
Molecule: ribosomal RNA, 1349 nt
Filed under: metagenome
Description: bacterial LSU rRNA
Rfam family: Bacterial large subunit ribosomal RNA
Source: RNAcentral